This 496-nucleotide ribosomal RNA is filed under the name uncultured bacterium. RNAcentral describes it as "partial 16S ribosomal RNA". It matches the Rfam family "Bacterial small subunit ribosomal RNA", at positions 28 to 506 of the family's 1533-position model. The record is from RNAcentral.
GACGAACGCUGGCGGCGUGCCUAAUACAUGCAAGUCGAACGCUGAAGAGAGGAGCUUGCUCUUCUUGGAUGAGUUGCGAACGGGUGAGUAACGCGUAGGUAACCUGCCUUGUAGCGGGGGAUAACUAUUGGAAACGAUAGCUAAUACCGCAUAACAAUGGAUGACACAUGUCAUUUAUUUGAAAGGGGCAAUUGCUCCACUACAAGAUGGACCUGCGUUGUAUUAGCUAGUAGGUGAGGUAAUGGCUCACCUAGGCGACGAUACAUAGCCGACCUGAGAGGGUGAUCGGCCACACUGGGACUGAGACACGGCCCAGACUCCUACGGGAGGCAGCAGUAGGGAAUCUUCGGCAAUGGGGGCAACCCUGACCGAGCAACGCCGCGUGAGUGAAGAAGGUUUUCGGAUCGUAAAGCUCUGUUGUAAGUCAAGAACGGGUGUGAGAGUGGAAAGUGCACACUGUGACGGUAGCUUACCAGAAAGGGACGGCUAACUACGU